RNAcentral lists this ribosomal RNA (207 nucleotides) under uncultured bacterium. RNAcentral describes it as "partial 16S ribosomal RNA". It matches the Rfam family "Bacterial small subunit ribosomal RNA", at positions 568 to 774 of the family's 1533-position model. The record is from RNAcentral.
UGCGUAGGUGGCGCCAUAAGUCAGGUGUGAAAUCUCGGGGCUUAACUCCGAAACUGCAUUUGAUACUGUGGUGCUUGAGGACUGGAGAGGAGACUGGAAUUCACGGUGUAGCAGUGAAAUGCGUAGAUAUCGUGAGGAAGGCCAGUGGCGAAGGCGGGUCUCUGGACAGUUCCUGACACUGAGGCACGAAGGCCAGGGGAGCAAACG